AGCGAACGCUGGCGGCAGGCCUAACACAUGCAAGUCGAACGAACUCUUCGGAGUUAGUGGCGGACGGGUGAGUAACACGUGGGAACGUGCCUUUUGGUUCGGAAUAACUCAGGGAAACUUGUGCUAAUACCGAAUGUGCCCUUCGGGGGAAAGAUUUAUCGCCAUUAGAGCGGCCCGCGUCUGAUUAGCUAGUUGGUGAGGUAACGGCUCACCAAGGCGACGAUCAGUAGCUGGUCUGAGAGGAUGACCAGCCACACUGGGACUGAGACACGGCCCAGACUCCUACGGGAGGCAGCAGUGGGGAAUCUUGCGCAAUGGGCGAAAGCCUGACGCAGCCAUGCCGCGUGAAUGAUGAAGGUCUUAGGAUUGUAAAAUUCUUUCACCGGGGACGAUAAUGAUGGUACCCGGAGAAGAAGCCCCGGCUAACUUCGUG
RNAcentral lists this ribosomal RNA (433 nucleotides) under uncultured bacterium. RNAcentral's name for it is "partial 16S ribosomal RNA". It matches the Rfam family "Bacterial small subunit ribosomal RNA", at positions 29 to 507 of the family's 1533-position model. The record is from RNAcentral.